RNAcentral lists this ribosomal RNA (253 nucleotides) under uncultured bacterium. Its description in RNAcentral is "partial 16S ribosomal RNA". It matches the Rfam family "Bacterial small subunit ribosomal RNA", at positions 524 to 776 of the family's 1533-position model. The record is from RNAcentral.
UACGGAGGGGGCUAGCGUUGUUCGGAAUUACUGGGCGUAAAGCGCACGUAGGCGGCUUUGCAAGUUAGAGGUGAAAGCCCGGGGCUCAACUCCGGAAUUGCCUUUAAAACUGCAUCGCUAGAAUUGUGGAGAGGUAAGUGGAAUUCCGAGUGUAGAGGUGAGAUUCGUAGAUAUUCGGAAGAACACCAGUGGCGAAGGCGACUUACUGGACACAUAUUGACGCUGAGGUGCGAAAGCGUGGGGAGCAAACAGG